Molecule: ribosomal RNA, 490 nt
Filed under: uncultured bacterium
Lineage: Bacteria
Description: partial 16S ribosomal RNA
Rfam family: Bacterial small subunit ribosomal RNA
Source: RNAcentral
AUUGAACGCUGGCGGCAGGCCUAACACAUGCAAGUCGAACGGUAACAGGAAGACGCUUGCUUCUUUGCUGACGAGUGGCGGACGGGUGAGUAAUGUCUGGGAAACUGCCUGAUGGAGGGGGAUAACUACUGGAAACGGUAGCUAAUACCGCAUAACGUCGCAAGACCAAAAAGGGGGACCUUCGGGCCUCUUGCCAUCGGAUGUGCCCAGAUGGGAUUAGCUAGUAGGUGGGGUAACGGCUCACCUAGGCGACGAUCCCUAGCUGGUCUGAGAGGAUGACCAGCCACACUGGAACUGAGACACGGUCCAGACUCCUACGGGGGGCAGCAGUGGGGAAUAUUGCACAAUGGGCGCAAGCCUGAUGCAGCCAUGCCGCGUGUAUGAAGAAGGCCUUCGGGUUGUAAAGUACUUUCAGCGGAGAGGAAGGGAGUAAAGUUAAUACCUUUGCUCAUUGACGUUACCCGCAGAAGAAGCACCGGCUAACUCCGUG